UGGGGAAUAUUGGACAAUGGGGGGCAACCCUGAUCCAGCCAUGCCGCGUGAGUGAUGAAGGCCUUCGGGUUGUAAAGCUCUUUUGGCGGGGACGAUGAUGACGGUACCCGCAGAAUAAGCCCCGGCUAACUUCGUGCCAGCAGCCGCGGUAAGACGAAGGGGGCUAGCGUUGUUCGGAAUUACUGGGCGUAAAGCGAGUGUAGGCGGUUGCCGUAGUCAGGUGUGAAAGCCUUGAGCUCAACUCAAGAAAUGCACUUGAUACUGGGUGACUAGAGGACCGGAGAGGAUAGUGGAAUUCCCAGUGUAGUGGUGAAAUACGUGGAGAUUGGGAAGAACACCAGUGGCGAAGGCGGCUAUCUGGACGGUUACUGACGCUAAGACUCGAAAGCGUGGGGAGCAAACAGGAUUAGAUACCCUGGUAGUCCACGCCGUAAACGAUGGGUGCUAGACGUUGGCGAGCUUGCUCGUCAGUGUCGCAGCUAACGCGUUAAGCACCCCGCCUGGGGAGUACGGCCGCAAGGUUGAAACUCAAAUGAAUUGACGGGGGUCAUAGCUGUUUCCU
Molecule: ribosomal RNA, 562 nt
Filed under: uncultured bacterium
Lineage: Bacteria
Description: partial 16S ribosomal RNA
Rfam family: Bacterial small subunit ribosomal RNA
Source: RNAcentral